RNAcentral lists this ribosomal RNA (421 nucleotides) under uncultured eukaryote. RNAcentral's name for it is "SSU rRNA". It matches the Rfam family "Eukaryotic small subunit ribosomal RNA", at positions 592 to 1018 of the family's 1831-position model. The record is from RNAcentral.
CAAUAGCGUAUAUUAAAGUUGUUGCGGUUAAAAGCUCGUAGUUGGAUUUCUGCCGAGGACGACCGGUCCGCCCUCUGGGUGAGUAUCUGGCUUGGCCUGGGCAUCUUCUUGGAGAACGUAGCUGCACUUGACUGUGUGGUGCGGUAUCCAGGACUUUUACUUUGAGGAAAUUAGAGUGUUUCAAGCAGGCAUGCGCCUUGAAUACAUUAGCAUGGAAUAAUAAGAUAGGACCUCGGUUCUAUUUUGUUGGUUUCUAGAGCUGAGGUAAUGAUUAAUAGGGAUAAUUGGGGGCAUUCGUAUAUACGCGUCAGAGGUGGAAUUCUUGGAUUGCGUAUCGACGAACUACUGCGAAAGCAUUUGCCAAGGAUGUUUUCAUUGAUCAAGAACGAAAGUAUGGGGAUCGAAGACGAUCAGAUACCAU